GGUUCUGUGGUGUAGGUGGUUAGCAUUCAGGGUUCUGAUUCCUGCGACGGGGGUUCGAGUCCCCCCAGAACCU
Molecule: non-coding RNA, 73 nt
Organism: Fragilaria crotonensis
Lineage: Eukaryota; Bacillariophyta; Fragilariophyceae; Fragilariales; Fragilariaceae
Source: the annotation of a GenBank genome assembly